RNAcentral lists this unclassified non-coding RNA (2146 nucleotides) under Hevea brasiliensis (rubber tree). The record is from RNAcentral. Lineage: Eukaryota; Viridiplantae; Streptophyta; Magnoliopsida; Malpighiales; Euphorbiaceae.
AAAAAAAAAUUACAAUAACAAUUUAUUUGGUCUUUCUUUACUUUAAAAGUACAAAAAGUAGAGAGAUAUCGAGUUAAAUAUCUUCAUCUAUAUAUUCUAAAAUAAUUCACCUUUAUAGUAAAAAAUGGAAAUGAUUGAACAUUUGAGUAGUAUAAAAAUAACCUCAAAUUAGUAAUAUUUAUAUCAAAUAGACAAUCCACACAUGGAAAAUCACAAAUUAAAAUAACCUCAAAAGUAUAAGCAAGAUUUCUUUCUGUAUGUCUUUUAUAUAUAUAUGAGCAUGCCCUAGAAUCAAACCAUGUACCUUGAAAAUAACUAGAAAGAAAGAAUGGAAAGAUAAUUCACGCUUGAGUAUAUGUGAAGUUGGCUGCGAUCACAUCUCAGCAAAAAUUUGUGUGGGGAGAAACAAAAUAGACAUAUAUAUUGGAUUAGAAGAAAAGAUAUUGUGAAUGGGUUUUCAUUGUCAUUCAGACGUGGAUGAAGUGAAAGGGCGAGAAUAGAGACAUAUGGUUGUUGUCUUGUAUUGUCUCCUUGGUGGUGGUACCAUAUGCGCCUAUUCUUGAUAAUAAGCCAUGUCUUUCUCUUCUUGUUUUCUUUUUUCCUGGAAAAUCAUGCCAAACACAGCUUGUUUACCUAUACUUCUUGCCUAGCUCAACUGACAACCAUAUAUUCUUGGAAAACAAUGAGAGCAACUAUAAAUCUUAUUACAUGACACACCCAUCCAAAUUUAAUGGGAAAAUGAUAAAUAUAGACGAGAAUUUCAUGCACUUUUCUUGUUCUUCCAUUUUCAAUUUCAGUGGAGAGAACAUUGCAUUUGUGGAGUUGACCGGCCCAAUGAUUGAGUGAUCUCAUAAUGUAGAAAGUCAAGGCUUAGAUUUUAGUGGUUAUAUUUUCCUAAACGGUUCUUUUAAUAAGUGAAACAUGCGCUCUUUAAAUAUGUUUAUUUAUUAGUAAUUUUCCAGUAGGAAUUAUCAAUAUAUUUUUAUGUUAUCGAUAUAAAAUUAAUAAUAAAUAAAUAUAUUUAAUAAAUUUUAACGAGUGCAAUAGAAAAACUCCCAAAUACCGAAAAACAAAUUAAUGACCAAAACAAUAAUUGUCUUGAAUUCCUGAUGGUUGUUUGAACCUUGGAUACCUACCUGCCUAGCUAGCUAGCUAGCUAGAAUUCAAAACAAGGCUUCUUUGGUUGGCUGUGCCUUGUUAUUGAAUAGACAUGUUGUGCUUAAAAAAUGUUGCUAAAGCACAACAAGCUAUGGUGAGCAUGAUGUACUUCGUAGGUUGUCUAACACUUGUUAAAUAAAGAAUCAUUCAAGUAAUUAACAGCUUUUAUUAUUGUCAAUAUCCAUAAGCAGACAGAUAGAAGUUAGAACAGCUCAUUUAAUUUCUUAAUCAAUGAUACUGAAAUUUUGAGGACCUGUCUUACAGAACAUAGAGAAUAUGCGAUUCCAAUCAGAUCAUAAAUUUGGCAUUUUAUUUAGUUUCUAAUGCGUCAAAACUCUUAUAUGUAUAAUAAGCUAGAGAGAGAGAAGGUAAGAAUUUUGCAGCUGCCCCAUAUAUGUAGUCAAGGAAACUCGCGUUUUCUGAUAAUGACACUAAGCUAGCAAGCUAAUAAUUCAGUCAAAGUUUUAUCUUUAUCCUCGUUCCUCAUCACAAUAUAUAGUUGAAAUUUAACACUCACUGGUUUGCAAACUACAUACGGCAUGGACAUCUUUAAUUUCUUGAUCUUUAUCCCAAUAGUACUAUCAUAAAUUAAACAUUUUUUUUUGUUUAAUUUUUAAAUUCUUUUUCUUGAUAGCUAUGCUUUCGUUUUUGUAUUAUAGAAUUCAGACAAUAUGUCAGUAGAAAAACCAUGGAGAAUUUAGGCACUAAUUAAUAAACCACAUGCGCCCACAUAGAAAAAAGACAAUAUUUGGCAGACACAAGUUUUCUGAGAAGUGGGUUUUGGAGAUUAAUGCAUGACUGACCUGAUAUGGAGCUUUUUCACCGAUUUGAAUUGUUUUGUUGAGAUCUUGACGAGACAGACAAAUGGUAGAAACAUAUCUUCUUUGUAUUAGAUUUCCAAUUGCAGUGCUAAAUAAUUAUAUCCAGGAGUAGUGGUCAUGAUGGGGAAGAGGGGCACAUGAAGAACUAACUCACUGUCACUGGAGCU